UGAGCAAUCUGCCCUUCUCAUCGGAAUAAGCGUUGGAAACGACGUCUAAUGCCGAAUACGACCUCCUUUCGCAUGAUCGGAGGUGGAAAGCUCCGGCGGAGAAGGAUGAGCUCGCGGCCUAUCAGCUAGUUGGUGUGGGUAAUGGCCCACCAAGGCGACGACGGGUAGCCGGCCUGAGAGGGUGACCGGCCACACUGGGACUGAGACACGGCCCAGACUCCGUACGGGAGCA
Molecule: ribosomal RNA, 232 nt
Filed under: uncultured bacterium
Lineage: Bacteria
Description: partial 16S ribosomal RNA
Rfam family: Bacterial small subunit ribosomal RNA
Source: RNAcentral